UAGUCCUAAGGAACCAGAUUCUCAUUCUCACCACUCAGCAUGUCCAGCAGGUAUCACUUCCACUUCUCGUCCAUCAUCUUCGUGGGUGAUUGACUCUGGAGCCUCCCAUCACAUGAUGGGCUCUUCCUCGGACUUCCAUUCUCUUCGCAAUUUUUCUAGCCAUAGUUUUUGGUAGGAACGGCUAAUGGAGCUUCAGUUCCUGUUCAAGGAGUUGGUUCUAUUUCCUUUCCCUCUAUCUCUCUUCCUAGUGUUUUUCAUGUUCCCGGUCUUGACAAGAACCUUUUUUCAGUUAAUCAACUGUGUAAGUCUCUUAAUUGCAGUGCAACCUUAUUUUCUUCUCCUUCAACUAAGAAAGGUGUUUCAGGACCGGAAGGAUGAUUGGUUCGGGUAAGGAAAAAGGGGGCAUCUACAUUCUUGACACCGGGCAAAUUUUGAGUCACUCGGCUACUACUACUAUUUGUUCGGUACCUCUCAACACAUGGCAUAAGCCACUUGGACACGUGAUCUUUCGGCGUCUUCAUUCCAUGGCUGAAUAGGGACUUUUUUGAACUCUACCUACCUAGUUUUGCAAAAGAUGUUUUUGAUCAAUGUACUACAGGGUGGAAAAUAACCUUUUACCAACAAAUCAGUUCAUUGUAAUAGAAAUUUUGAGUUAAUUCAUACGGAUGUUUGGGGACCUGCUCCCGUGUUGUCUCAUUCAAAGCUCCAUCGAAGAACAUGGUCCAGAAAGGAUCAGAUUCUCCAUACUCAAUGUUAGUGUAAAAGACUUCU
RNAcentral lists this long non-coding RNA (771 nucleotides) under Amborella trichopoda. RNAcentral describes it as "long non-coding RNA (ATRI_LNC000123)". Lineage: Eukaryota; Viridiplantae; Streptophyta; Magnoliopsida; Amborellales; Amborellaceae. The record is from RNAcentral.